CAUUGUAGAGUCUUGCUCAUCCGAAUGACUAGAGAA
RNAcentral lists this ribosomal RNA (36 nucleotides) under Eucalyptus conveniens. Its description in RNAcentral is "partial 18S ribosomal RNA". The record is from RNAcentral. Lineage: Eukaryota; Viridiplantae; Streptophyta; Magnoliopsida; Myrtales; Myrtaceae.